ACGGACAAGGUUGUCACAUUCAGAACAAGGAAGUUCAUAACAAAUCCCCUCCUCUCGAGGAAGCAAUUCAUCCUCGAUGUGUUGCAUCCUGGAAGAGCUAAUGUCUCCAAGAACGCAAGAACAGAGCGAGAGCGAAGAAGAUUCGUGGUGUCAAGGUCCUUUCAUUGUGAUUAGCCCUCUAAAAUUGCAUUGCCAUGCUAACUAUGGUUUUACUUGCAUCAUUGUGUGGAAAGAAUUUUAUGUAUUUUGGUUUUUGCAAUCUUGAAGAUCAUCGUUAGUUUUUAUGAUGUUCAUGUCUGAAAGCUGUGAUGAAUCAAUCAAAUUUACCAUCUAUCUUA
Long non-coding RNA from Salvia splendens (bonfire salvia), 338 nucleotides. RefSeq lists it as uncharacterized. The record is from RefSeq and is a predicted model, not a curated record. The transcript is spliced from 2 exons. NCBI's taxonomy places the organism in Eukaryota, Viridiplantae, Streptophyta, Magnoliopsida, Lamiales, Lamiaceae.